AUUGAACGCUGGCGGCAGGCCUAACACAUGCAAGUCGAGCGGAUGAAGGGAGCUUGCUCCUGGAUUCAGCGGCGGACGGGUGAGUAAUGCCUAGGAAUCUGCCUGGUAGUGGGGGAUAGCGUCCGGAAACGGGCGCUAAUACCGCAUACGUCCUGAGGGAGAAAGUGGGGGAUCUUCGGACCUCACGCUAUCAGAUGAGCCUAGGUCGGAUUAGCUAGUUGGUGGGGUAAAGGCCUACCAAGGCGACGAUCCGUAACUGGUCUGAGAGGAUGAUCAGUCACACUGGAACUGAGACACGGUCCAGACUCCUAUGGGAGGCAGCAGUGGGGAAUAUUGGACAAUGGGCGAAAGCCUGAUCCAGCCAUGCCGCGUGUGUGAAGAAGGUCUUCGGAUUGUAAAGCACUUUAAGUUGGGAGGAAGGGCAGUAAGUUAAUACCUUGCUGUUUUGACGUUACCAACAGAAUAAGCACCGGCUAACUUCGUG
This 484-nucleotide ribosomal RNA is filed under the name uncultured bacterium. RNAcentral describes it as "partial 16S ribosomal RNA". It matches the Rfam family "Bacterial small subunit ribosomal RNA", at positions 30 to 507 of the family's 1533-position model. The record is from RNAcentral.